Molecule: ribosomal RNA, 297 nt
Filed under: uncultured bacterium
Lineage: Bacteria
Description: partial 16S ribosomal RNA
Rfam family: Bacterial small subunit ribosomal RNA
Source: RNAcentral
AAUCAACGUUGGCGGCGCGCUUAACACAUGCAAGUCGAACGAGAAAGUGGAGCAAUCCAUGAGUAAAGUGGCGGACGGGUGAGUAACACGUGGGUAUCCAUUCUUUGGUGGGGAAUAACUCUAGGGAAACCGGAGCUAAUACCGCAUAAGUCCGAGAGGAGAAAGGUGAAAAUCGCCGAAGAAGGAGCCCGCGGCUGAUUAGCUAGUUGGUGAGGUAACGGCCCACCAAGGCGAAGAUCGGUAGCCGGCCUGAGAGGGCGGACGGCCACACUGGGACUGAGACACGGCCCAGACUCC